AUUGAACGCUGGCGGCAUGCCUUACGCAUGCAAGUCGAACGGUAACAGGUCUUCGGAUGCUGACGAGUGGCGAACGGGUGAGUAAUACAUCGGAACGUGCCCGAUCGUGGGGGAUAACGGAGCGAAAGCUUUGCUAAUACCGCAUACGAUCUACGGAUGAAAGCAGGGGACCGCAAGGCCUUGCGCGGACGGAGCGGCCGAUGGCAGAUUAGGUAGUUGGUGGGAUAAAAGCUUACCAAGCCGACGAUCUGUAGCUGGUCUGAGAGGACGACCAGCCACACUGGGACUGAGACACGGCCCAGACUCCUACGGGAGGCAGCAGUGGGGAAUUUUGGACAAUGGGCGAAAGCCUGAUCCAGCCAUGCCGCGUGCAGGAUGAAGGCCUUCGGGUUGUAAACUGCUUUUGUACGGAACGAAAAGACUCUUUCUAAUAAAGAGGGUCCAUGACGGUACCGUAAGAAUAAGCACCGGCUAACUACGUG
RNAcentral lists this ribosomal RNA (482 nucleotides) under uncultured bacterium. RNAcentral's name for it is "partial 16S ribosomal RNA". It matches the Rfam family "Bacterial small subunit ribosomal RNA", at positions 30 to 507 of the family's 1533-position model. The record is from RNAcentral.